CCGGCAGUAGUUCAGUGGUAGAAUAAACCUUGCCAAGUUGGGGCGCGGGUUCUGAAUCCCGUCUUCCGCU
Molecule: transfer RNA, 70 nt
Filed under: Bacillus sp. UFRGS-B20
Lineage: Bacteria; Bacillati; Bacillota; Bacilli; Caryophanales; Bacillaceae
Description: tRNA-Gly
Rfam family: tRNA
About the family: Transfer RNA (tRNA) molecules are approximately 80 nucleotides in length. Their secondary structure includes four short double-helical elements and three loops (D, anti-codon, and T loops).
Source: RNAcentral